CAAUGCCGCGUGCAGGAAGAAGGCCUUCGGGUUGUAAACUGCUUUUGUACGGAACGAAACGGUCUGGGUUAAUACCCUGGGCUAAUGACGGUACCGUAAGAAUAAGCACCGGCUAACUACGUGCCAGCAGCCGCGGUAAU
This 140-nucleotide ribosomal RNA is filed under the name uncultured freshwater bacterium. Its description in RNAcentral is "partial 16S ribosomal RNA". It matches the Rfam family "Bacterial small subunit ribosomal RNA", at positions 392 to 524 of the family's 1533-position model. The record is from RNAcentral.